RNAcentral lists this ribosomal RNA (401 nucleotides) under uncultured bacterium. Its description in RNAcentral is "partial 16S ribosomal RNA". It matches the Rfam family "Bacterial small subunit ribosomal RNA", at positions 338 to 731 of the family's 1533-position model. The record is from RNAcentral.
CCUACGGGAGGCAGCAGUAGGGAAUCUUCCACAAUGGACGAAAGUCUGAUGGAGCAACGCCGCGUGAGUGAAGAAGGGUUUCGGCUCGUAAAGCUCUGUUGGUAGUGAAGAAAGAUAGAGGUAGUAACUGGCCUUUAUUUGACGGUAAUUACAUAGAAAGUCAAGUCUAACUACGUGCCAGCAGCCGCGGUAAUACGUAGGUGGCAAGCGUUGUCCGGCUUUAUUGGGCGUAAAGCGAGUGCAGGCGGUUCAGUAAGUCUGAUGUGAAAGCCUUCGGCUCAACCGGAGAAUUGCAUCUGAAACUGGUGAACUUGAGUGCAGAAGAGGAAAGUGGAAUUCCAUGUGUAGCGGUGAAAUGCGUAGAUAUAUGGAAGAACACCAGUGGCGAAGGCGGCUCUCUG